RNAcentral lists this ribosomal RNA (828 nucleotides) under Saccharomyces cerevisiae (brewer's yeast). RNAcentral's name for it is "partial large subunit ribosomal RNA". It matches the Rfam family "Eukaryotic large subunit ribosomal RNA", at positions 76 to 919 of the family's 3401-position model. Lineage: Eukaryota; Fungi; Ascomycota; Saccharomycetes; Saccharomycetales; Saccharomycetaceae. The record is from RNAcentral.
UGCCUUAGUAACGGCGAGUGAAGCGGCAAAAGCUCAUAUUUGAAAUCUGGUACCUUCGGUGCCCGAGUUGUAAUUUGGAGAGGGCAACUUUGGGGCCGUUCCUUGUCUAUGUUCCUUGGAACAGGACGUCAUAGAGGGUGAGAAUCCCGUGUGGCGAGGAGUGCGGUUCUUUGUAAAGUGCCUUCCAAGAGUCGAGUUGUUUGGGAAUGCAGCUCUAAGUGGGUGGUAAAUUCCAUCUAAAGCUAAAUAUUGGCGAGAGACCGAUAGCGAACAAGUACAGUGAUGGAAAGAUGAAAAGAACUUUGAAAAGAGAGUGAAAAAGUACGUGAAAUUGUUGAAAGGGAAGGGCAUUUGAUCAGACAUGGUGUUUUGUGCCCUCUGCUCCUUGUGGGUAGGGGAAUCUCGCAUUUCACUGGGCCAGCAUCAGUUUUGGUGGCAGGAUAAAUCCAUAGGAAUGUAGCUUGCCUCGGUAAGUAUUAUAGCCUGUGGGAAUACUGCCAGCUGGGACUGAGGACUGCGACGUAAGUCAAGGAUGCUGGCAUAAUGGUUAUAUGCCGCCCGUCUUGAAACACGGACCAAGGAGUCUAACGUCUAUGCGAGUGUUUGGGUGUAAAACCCAUACGCGUAAUGAAAGUGAACGUAGGUUGGGGCCUCGCAAGAGGUGCACAAUCGACCGAUCCUGAUGUCUUCGGAUGGAUUUGAGUAAGAGCAUACCUGUUGGGACCCGAAAGAUGGUGAACUAUGCCUGAAUAGGGUGAAGCCAGAGGAAACUCUGGUGGAGGCUCGCAGCGGUUCUGACGUGCAAAUCGAUCGUCGAAUUUGGGUAUA